This 366-nucleotide ribosomal RNA is filed under the name uncultured bacterium. Its description in RNAcentral is "partial 16S ribosomal RNA". It matches the Rfam family "Bacterial small subunit ribosomal RNA", at positions 338 to 701 of the family's 1533-position model. The record is from RNAcentral.
CCUACGGGUGGCAGCAGUGAGGAAUAUUGGUCAAUGGGCGCGAGCCUGAACCAGCCAAGUAGCGUGAAGGAUGACGGCCCUACGGGGUGUAAACUUCUUUUAUAAAGGAAUAAAGUGAGGCACGUGUGCCUUUUUGUAUGUACGUUAUGAAUAAGGAUCGGCUAACUCCGUGCCAGCAGCCGCGGUAAUACGGAGGCUCCGAGCGUUAUCCGGAUUGAUGGGGUUUAAAGGGAGCGUAGAUGGGUUGUUAAGUCAGUUUUGAAAGUUUGCGGCUCCACCGUAUAAUUGCCAUUGAUACUGGCAGCCUUGAGUACAGUUGAGGUCGGCGGCAUUCGUGGUGUAGCGGUGACAUGCUUCGCUAUCACG